AUGGACUACUAGGGUAUCUAAUCCCGUUUGCUCCCCUGGCCUUCGUGCCUCAGUGUCAGGAAAUGCCCAGAGAGUCGCCUUCGCAACUGGUCUUCCUCACGAUAUCUACGCAUUUCACUGCUACACCGUGAAUUCCACUCUCCUCUACAUUCCUCUAGCAUGGGAGUAUUGAGUGCAGUUCUAAGGUUAAGCCCUAGGAUUUCACACUCAACUUUCCACGCCACCUACGCACCCUUUACGCCCAAUGAAUCCGAACAACGCUUGAGACCUCUGUAUUACCGCGGCUGCUGGCACG
RNAcentral lists this unclassified non-coding RNA (295 nucleotides) under uncultured Chthoniobacterales bacterium. Its description in RNAcentral is "contains 16S-23S intergenic spacer region". Lineage: Bacteria; Pseudomonadati; Verrucomicrobiota; Spartobacteria; Chthoniobacterales. The record is from RNAcentral.